GGGCCUGUAGCUCAGCUGGCAGAGCGGCGGAAUUUCCUUUAUUGCCUGGGGGAUUUUCUGCGGCCGGAGGUUCGAUACCUCCCAGGCCCG
RNAcentral lists this transfer RNA (90 nucleotides) under Candidatus Parcubacteria bacterium. RNAcentral's name for it is "tRNA-OTHER". It matches the Rfam family "tRNA". Rfam says of the family: Transfer RNA (tRNA) molecules are approximately 80 nucleotides in length. The record is from RNAcentral. Lineage: Bacteria; Candidatus Parcubacteria.